UACGUAGGUUGCAAGCGUUGUCCGGAAUUAUUGGGCGUAAAGAGCUCGUAGGCGGUUUGUUGCGUCGGCUGUGAAAUCCCGAGGCUCAACCUCGGGUCUGCAGUCGAUACGAGCAAACUAGAGUGUUGCAGGGGAGACUGGAAUUCCUGGUGUAGCGGUGAAAUGCGCAGAUAUCAGGAGGAACACCGGUGGCGAAGGCGGGUCUCUGGGCAGUAACUGACGCUGAGGAGCGAAAGCAUGGGGAGCGAACAGG
Molecule: ribosomal RNA, 253 nt
Filed under: uncultured bacterium
Lineage: Bacteria
Description: partial 16S ribosomal RNA
Rfam family: Bacterial small subunit ribosomal RNA
Source: RNAcentral